GGCGAACGCUGGCGGCGUGCCUAAUACAUGCAAGUUGAGCGCUGAAGGUUGGUACUUGUACCGACUGGAUGAGCAGCGAACGGGUGAGUAACGCGUGGGGAAUCUGCCUUUGAGCGGGGGACAACAUUUGGAAACGAAUGCUAAUACAGCAUAAAAACUUUAAACACAAGUUUUAAGUUUGAAAGAUGCAAUUGCAUCACCCAAAGAUGAUCCCGCGUUGUAUUAGCUAGUUGGUGAGGUAAAGGCUCACCAAGGCGAUGAUACAUAGCCGACCUGAGAGGGUUGUCGGCCACAAUGGGAAGUGGACACGGCCCAAACUCCUACGGGAGGCAGCAGUAGGGAAACUUCGGCAAUGGACGAAAGUCUGACCGAGGAACGCCGCGGGAGUGAAGAAGGGUUUCGGAUCGUAAAACUCUGUUGGUAGAGAAGAACGUUGGUUAGAGUGGAAAGCUCAUCAAGUGACGGUAACUACCCAGAAAGGGACGGCUAACUACGUG
This 497-nucleotide ribosomal RNA is filed under the name uncultured bacterium. RNAcentral describes it as "partial 16S ribosomal RNA". It matches the Rfam family "Bacterial small subunit ribosomal RNA", at positions 28 to 507 of the family's 1533-position model. The record is from RNAcentral.